CCUACGGGCGGCAGCAGUGGGGAAUAUUGGACAAUGGGGGCAACCCUGAUCCAGCCAUGCCGCGUGUGUGAAGAAGGCCCUCGGGUUGUAAAGCACUUUCAGUGAGGAAGAACGCCUGGUGGUUAAUACCCAUCAGGAAAGACAUCACUCACAGAAGAAGCACCGGCUAACUCCGUGCCAGCAGCCGCGGUAAUACGGAGGGUGCGAGCGUUAAUCGGAAUUACUGGGCGUAAAGCGCGCGUAGGUGGCUUGAUAAGCCGGUUGUGAAAGCCCCGGACUCAACCUGGGAACGGCAUCCGGAACUGUCAAGCUAGAGUGCAGGAGAGGAAGGUAGAAUUCCCGGUGUAGCGGUGAAAUGCGUAGAGAUCGGGAGGAAUACCAGUGGCGAAGGCGGCCUUCUGGACUGACACUGACACUGAGGUGCGAAAGCGUGGGUAGCAAACAGGAUUAGAUACCCGGUAGUC
This 464-nucleotide ribosomal RNA is filed under the name Vreelandella stevensii. RNAcentral's name for it is "partial 16S ribosomal RNA". It matches the Rfam family "Bacterial small subunit ribosomal RNA", at positions 338 to 795 of the family's 1533-position model. The record is from RNAcentral. Lineage: Bacteria; Pseudomonadati; Pseudomonadota; Gammaproteobacteria; Oceanospirillales; Halomonadaceae.